CGAUCAGUUUCUUGUAACAACCCAAAGGCGUGCUGCCUGAAGGAAUACAGCCGAGAGUUAACAGAGCACAGACAGGAUCUGGAUGGAUCAUGUGAUUUCUUGAAGUUGGAUGGAAACAGCGCCCCACCGCGGCAGAGAAGCUAAGGUGAUAAAAUUAGACGAUUAUUUCCAGCAGCAGUGUAAAGACAAAUGGAAAGAAGGCGUUACACAGCAAAUACUUAUAAGUAAGUCAGUACAAAAAUAAAUACACAAGGGCAACACACAAUUAAAAAGUAACACGAGUUCAACAAAAUGACCAGACUGAGACUAAUAAAGUUAAAUUAUGAGAAUUGAAUCGUAAACAUAUGAUAAUAAAGUGUUGCGAAUAAAAGUCAAAUUAAAUUUAAUAAAGUCUUUAUGUGAGAAUAGACUUAGAAAAGUAAAGUCGGCAAUUUAACUUUAAAGAGAGGAGAACCCAACGUUAACUAUAGAUUGUUAGAUUGGAAACACAGAUAAUCUGGAUGAAGUUACAUUUAAUGUUGGUUUCAAGAGAAAAAUUAUUUUAUUUUUCAUCUUCCGGAAAACAAGGACAUUUCAAAGUUUGUAAGAAACUGCUUCAAAUAUCUCAACCAGUCCGCAGUCAGUUCAAAGUGGUAUAACGGGUGAGACCAGUGUGUUGUGACGUUAAAAUAUGUAGGUUACUGUACUGUUCACGUAAACAACAGCAACGUGUUGAUCUUAAUAUAGUGUUAGUUUUUUAUUGUGAAUUGUUGUUUUUUUUUCAAUCAACAUGCAGAUGUAAAAAUGUUCCAGUAUGAACCAGACAAUAUUUAUUUACCACGACUCACCACGAGUUUAUUUACUCACGGGGUUCUCAUGGACAUUCUUAAAACCUCGACUGAAAUGUUUACUCAGGAAAUAAACUGUACCUGUGGGUUUGGAUAACUUUAUUAAAAUCAUAUUGUGACACAGACCAGGACACGUACAGACCACACAACAGAAAUAAAUACCAUCAUGUGUACAGCGCUCAUUGUCAAACAGGCUUAUUGCAGCUGACUUUUAAUUUAUGUCAUCCAAAAAAAGAGGAGGGCAUGCUGUGUCAUCAGACAGAGAUA
Molecule: long non-coding RNA, 1094 nt
Organism: Cynoglossus semilaevis (tongue sole)
Lineage: Eukaryota; Metazoa; Chordata; Actinopteri; Pleuronectiformes; Cynoglossidae
Exons: 2
Source: RefSeq, a predicted model, not a curated record